This is a long non-coding RNA of Heterocephalus glaber (naked mole-rat), 332 nucleotides long. NCBI's taxonomy places the organism in Eukaryota, Metazoa, Chordata, Mammalia, Rodentia, Bathyergidae. The record is from Ensembl.
GCGUUUCCCUCGGGCCUCCGGAGAGUCUAAAAACUCACUUCGGAGGAAGGGAAAGAGCGUGAAGUGGCUCUUUCGAUCUGAGACACCCCUUCCCGGAGAAAUCGCUCCCUCCCCCAGCCCAGCGCGGAGUGAAAUCUUAGAAGCCACGGCGGCUGGGUUUGAACGGAAUGCCGGAGUCGGUGGAAGCCGGAGCUGGUCGGCCACAAGCUCCUUCUGUGUGUGGCUGAUUCUUUCCAUUUCAGCUCCUCUGUCACCUUGUGAUACAGCCAGGGGACCCUCACCAGGACACCAGCACCAUGUUGUUCGGACCUUCCUACCACCAGGAUUGGGAG